Molecule: long non-coding RNA, 1248 nt
Organism: Fukomys damarensis (Damara mole-rat)
Lineage: Eukaryota; Metazoa; Chordata; Mammalia; Rodentia; Bathyergidae
Exons: 5
Source: RefSeq, a predicted model, not a curated record
GCCUGGCCUUACACGCAGUGCGGUUCCCAGCCAACUGGCAGCUCUCCACCACAAAUGACUGUUAUUCUGCUAUUUCCAGGUCCUUCCCCAACACCGGAGCUUGGUCCCCACCUAUAGAUACAGCACAGAGACACAAGGAUGCUAACACCACUGGAGCAACCUUCAGCAACUGGAGGAUGGGCAUCAUUUUCAAUGAUUAAGAAACAAAGCAAGGCCAUCCCAAGGUUCAAAUCCAGUGUCCUAAUGAAGCAGAGAUGCAGGUCUGUGUCCAUGGAAGUUGGAAAAUGGGAAGCCAAGAAGAACACUGAGAGGACCUCUAGACAGGGACAUCCAGGCAUGAGUUCUAGUCCUGCCUUCCUGAUCUCUGCUCUAGAAAUAUUGGCCAGCUCCAAAGAAACAGCAUGACCAAGGGAACUGGCACAAGAAAAAUUGCUCACAUCAUGGCAACCAGGAAGCAGGGAGAAAAGGAGACCAGGAGGGAGGUAUACCUUUCCAGGUCACAGCUCCUGUGACCCUGUUCUUCAAACCAGCCCCUGCUCCUCAUGGCAAAGCAAGAACCCAAUUGGUGCAGCCCAUCACUGUGUGCCCCUUAAUCAGUCCAACUGGUUAUGCCUACAAUGGAACUGGACCAAGUGAUGAAAACCGUGGCUGCUGAUGGAUUAAGGGCUCAAUGCAGGUACAAACUCUGGACACCAUAUUAAAAACAAACACAAGAAGACACUGAAAGAUGGAGAAAAGGGAGCCUGGCUAGGCACCUCAGAAGCUGAGGCAACUUCUCUAGGUUGUAUUUUGUUUGGGCCUUAUGAAUUGCAGAGUAAAUGAUGGAAAAGCCAGACAUCCACCUACAUCAUCAAGUGCAAACACAUAUACAAAAAGUCAUCUCAAAACUUUCUUUCCAGCCAAAGGAAAGGGAGUCCAGCAGACUAGCAUCUACUCUACAAGAGUCAAAUACCACAGCAAACACUGUAGCCUCACCCCAGCCAAAAAAAAAAACAGAGAAGAGAGCACAGACUUUUAUCCCCACUUGAUGGAACCAAGGCCCUCUCUGUUGCAGCCACAUCAGAGAAGGCCUAAUGGCCAGUGGACCCAGGUAAAAUGAAUUAUCUCCCAUAGUGUUACUGGAGACCAUAUAGGGAGCAAUUACUAGGCACCUCCCCCCACCCUGUCCCAGCAGAACAGCAGGGCCCUGAGAGCAAUGCUGCUUCCCCCUCACCCAGCAGUAACCAGGAGACUCUCUUGCAGGACACC